Equus caballus (horse) is the source of this 1754-nucleotide long non-coding RNA. The record is from Ensembl. Lineage: Eukaryota; Metazoa; Chordata; Mammalia; Perissodactyla; Equidae.
AUUGCACCUGCACUAAGAUCUGUUUCCAAUCUUUUUUUUCUUCUUCUUCUUCUUCCCAAAGUCCUCUGGUACAUAGUUGCAUAUUCUAGUUGUGAGUGCCUCUGGUUGUGCUAUAUGGGACACUGCCUCAACAGGACCUGAUGAGCAGUGCCAUGUCCACACCCAGGAUCCGAACUGGCAGAACCCUGGGCCGCCGAAGUGGAGCACAUGAGCUUAACCACUCGGCCAUGGGCCCAGACCCCAUACAGCUGUUUUUAAUGUUUUAACCUCCCACAACUCACUCUAGCUUCUAUUUCACAAGUUUUACGUGGUCUAUUGUGUCUCCAGCUCUAAUUUCUUGCCCUAGGUAUCUGUAGAUCUAUAGACCCCCUGCAGCAUUCACGGCAGUGGCCACCACUUUUCCUCACAUGAGAUCCAACUCAGGUCCUUCUGGUUGUGCUAUGUGGGAUGCUGCCUCAGCACGGCCUGAUGAGUGGUGGCAUGUCUGCGCCCAGGAUCUGAGCCAGUGAAACUUUGGGCCACCAAAGUGGAGCAUGCAAACCUAACCACUCGGCCAUGAGAUAAGAACUAUAAAAUACAUUAAAAAAUUUUAAAAACUCUAACUGGAGGAUCUGAAAAGUAAACAAAAGCAGACAAAUCCUUGAAAAGCACUUGGAAGAAGAAAAUGGCAUGUGAUGAGACUCCUAUUUUUUAACGCUCUUAGUCUAAGGUAAGUCUACUAAAACACAAAUGAGUUUUGAGUUGGAGACAUCCUGAGAAAGUAAGUCCAUCAAGAUUUUGCAGCAAUCUUUGGAAGGAUUUUGAACUUCUUCAGUUCACAAAUUAAAGAAUGCCACCACAGCAUGGCUUGACAAAUGAUGAUAGGUCCACACCUGGGAUCCGAACCUGCGAACCCUGGACCACCAAAGUGGAGCACAGAACUUAACCACUACAUCACAAGGCCAGCCCCUGUUACUCAUUUUUUAAUGGAGUUUGUUUGUGGGAUUUUUUUGUAUUUGUUGGCUUUUUCUAUUGAGUUAUGUAUUUUGGACAUUAACUCAUUAUCAGAUAUAUGGUCUGCAAGUAUUUUCUCCCAUUUUGUAAGUUGCUUUUUACUCUGUUGAUAGUUUCCAUUGCUGUGCAGAAACUUUUUAGUUUUUAUGAAGUUACACUUGUCUAUUUUUGCUUCUGUUGCUUGUGUUUGAUGUCAUAUCCAAGAAAUCAUUGCCAAUAAUCAGGGAAAUGCAAAUCAAAAACAGAAUGAGAUAUAAUCUCACACCUGGUAGGAUGGCCAUUAUAAAAAAAAAACCCACAAGAUAACAAGUUUUGGUGAGAAUGCGGAGAAAUAAGAACCCUUGUGCACUGUUGGUGGGAAUGUAAAAUGGUGAAGCCACUAUGGAAACUGGAUGGAAGUUCCUCAAAAAAUUAAAAAUACACUAAAAAACUACAGCUAACAUCAUAUUUGGUGAUUAGAAACUCAAAGCUUUUCCACUAAGAUCAGGUAUAAGGCAAGGAUGUCCCCAUCACAACUCCUUCUCAAAUCAUGCUGAAAGUCCUUGCCGGGGUAAUAUGGUAAGAAAAGGCAAUAAAAAUAUUACAGAUUGGGAAGGAAAACAUAAAACUGUCUUUUUUCACAGAUCAUUGUCUAUAUAGAAAAUCCAGAAGAACUGACAAACAAAACCUCCUGGAACUAAUAAGCAAUUAUAGCAAGGAUACAGGAUAUAAAGUUAAUACGCAAAAGUCAAUUGUUGUUCUAUAUGCCAACAAUGAAAAGA